UUUCUUGAAUUGGACUUGGCAACCCUACCUCCAGGGGUCUGAUAGGAGCCCUCCAGGGCUGCAUGUUUGACACCCCUUCCUUAGUGGAUGUGGGAGUGUACACCUGGCAGCCCUCAGCCUCUCUUGCCGGUAAAAGCAGGGGACUCUAGUGAUGAGUGUUUAUGGGAUCCAGGCCCUGACGGGAUCCAGGAUGAAGAAGGAUGGCUCAGCUAACAGCACUGACCCUAAUGACUGGGCCCAGCUGCACCUGCAUGGGAAACUGGCUACCUGAACUUGCUUUGAGACCAAGUGGCACCCGUGGUUCUCAUGGAGGUUGGCAACACUAGAAGAAGGAUGUGUUCUUAGAAGAUUUAACUCAGGAGCAACAGACUGGUGGCUGUGGAGAGAUUCUGAUGCAAAUAUACACGGAAUCAGAUACCAGACUCAUGGACUCUUUGCCACAAAACAGGAAUUCCUGGAGAAAUUUAAAAGGAAGAGUGACCUACAUCCCUCUCAAGUUAAAGGAGAAUCCCCCAGAACAAGUUGGUGGCCAUGAUUUACCAUACGCCACACAUCCAGGGGCUAAUUUGGGCAAGUGAAAAGGAGGCAGAAGUGCUGUAUAUGCGUGUGCAUGGACAGAACAAUCUGAUGCAACAUGUCGCCUUCUUCCCAAUCCAGGUGCCUCCCCUUCCAUGACAAUUCUCUAUAGAUUAAAUUGAUACUUCUGUUUUUAGAAGUUUUUUGUAUCUUCUGAAUAAAACUGCUAAGGGAA
Heteronotia binoei (common prickly gecko) is the source of this 751-nucleotide long non-coding RNA. RefSeq lists it as uncharacterized. NCBI's taxonomy places the organism in Eukaryota, Metazoa, Chordata, Lepidosauria, Squamata, Gekkonidae. The transcript is spliced from 3 exons. The record is from RefSeq and is a predicted model, not a curated record.